Long non-coding RNA from Columba livia (rock pigeon), 6758 nucleotides. RefSeq lists it as uncharacterized. The record is from RefSeq and is a predicted model, not a curated record. The transcript has 5 exons. NCBI's taxonomy places the organism in Eukaryota, Metazoa, Chordata, Aves, Columbiformes, Columbidae.
AGGAAGACCAGUUGAUAUGACAAAAAUCAAUCACCAUUUCAAGGUUCCUGGCACACGAGCUUUCAGAGACUCAGGUCACUCCAGUUGCCUUUCUCCAUGUGCUGUUACAUUGAAUUCCCUCACUUCAAAAGAUGUGCUUAAGGUAGAGGAACCUUUUCUUCGUUGGAGGCAGGCAAUGCUCCUGAACUCUUGGUCAUUGGUGCUGCUCUGAAGUCAAGGAGAAAUACUCUGUACCAGCAUGUUGUUGCAAUGUGUCGUUAAGAAGCUGGAAAGUGGCUGCCUCUGAUGUGUGUUAUACUUGUACAGCUUCAUGUAUGAACACUACAAGUUAAUUUUUAGAUAGCAUGUAUUUAUCUUGGAGAGCUGGCUUAUGGCAGCUUCGUGUUUAUCUGCUCUGUAAGAAUCUUGAGGAGUCAUUGUGAAGGAUACAUUGUGUGGUCAGUUUUUUGUCAGUUUAGCAACAUGCUGGUGAUUGAUUAUUCUUAAAUGAAAUACUUCUGGCAUAGUUUCCUGUACUGGCCCAUUACCCAGUCCCACUUCUGACACAACCCAGUGCUGAUGAGACUUCGAGAAGCUGUAACUUCUCUAUCCAACAAGGAGAGUUUUGGUGAAAAAGUUUCCAUGUAUGAAACCCGAAGUGACCAAGUGCACCACGAAGAGGAAGAAAUAUUUUUUCACCUGACCCUUCUUAUUUGGACUGUUAUCUAAACUAUCAAAGGACGAGAAAAAUGUCUGAAACAAGCUCUCCUGUUCCUCUACUGUACACCAAAACAUGACCCCCAGCUCAGGCUAGAAUAAAUAAAAUGGGGAGAUUCCUGAAGUUACAGGACCACAUGGUUACCCUUAUCCAACUGUGAUUGAGGAGGCAGCAGUCCCCACACCUCCAUGGUGCCUGGCCUUGGGGACUGUUGCACUGCAGGGGUCACUGUGUUCCCUGGUGAAUCCAAACCUUGCUGGCUUCUUUACAGUAAGUAUAGUGACUUGCACUACCAAUGAAUGCAGCCGGGGUGUUUUUCUAUGAAACUUACUACUUCUUUUUUUUAUUAUUAUUUUUUUAAUAUAUAUUUCUUGAUACCACUUGCUUUAUAUGCCUCUUUGGAGGACUGAACUUGUGUUUAGUGCCAUGACAAUAUGUCACUCCAGAUCUGCGAAAGACAGCGUAAGGUCAGUGAAGAGAAGCCUUCCCUUUCCAAUAGCCGGUGUCUAUAUAUAAAUUGGCACUUGAUGCUCAUCAAAGAACAAGAAAUAUUGGAUAUGCUCUAAAUGUCCAUUGCAUUUUUGAGCCAACUACCUGAUGGAAGUCAUCACUUAUAUGUAAAUGAACUGUCAAUGGCUUGCCUCUGUUGGCAGUCGCUGGACUGUGAAGGGUAUGUCUUAAUAAGAACCAAAGCUCUUCACAGACUUUGAUUUACUGGAAAUAAAAUAGAAAAGUCCUCUGAGACUACAAAGGACACUUGUUUCAGAUAAAAUGUCUAGACAGUAGCAAUAUAUUUGGGGCUUUUAUUAUAGCAAAACUGCAAAUUAGAAUAGAGUGCUGAGAAAGUUCCUAUGACCCAGCUGAGUUCAAAAACACUGUUUCAGACUGAUCCGUGAAACACACUCAAAUUAAGUUCAUGAGCCUUCAAAAGGGAAAGAAAAGAUGUGCAAGGUCGAUGUUCAGGUUUUGCUAGAACUCUAGAGCUUCCCAGUUUUUACAUUCCCUCUGACAAGGAGAGAUUUGCAAUUCCGCCAUGAUUUAAAUCAUUUAAAGAAAACACAAAUUGUGCAUUGUGUUUCACUGCAUUAGAUAACAGUAUGCUUUACAGUCCAUUCUUGUAUGAUGGCCUUUUUCUUUGAUUAUUGAAUAUAAAACACAAAAGAAAGAUUAAUUCUGUGAAAUGUUAGAUUUUAGGGAAGAAAAUCAGAAUGAAACUGAAGCAUGAUUUAACUAAGACAUGUCUGUCCCUUGUUUUAGGGAAGGCAAAUCAUACGGCAUUUCUGAUAUGGAAUUUUCAGAAUGUCCAGUUCCUCUGAAAACUAUCACUGUUAGUAAAAUUGUUAUUUUAUUAUUAUCAUUGCCAGUUUUUUAUCAUCCAGAAUUUUUAAAAGAUAUACCAAAUUGGAGAAUACAAACCAGUUAGGAUGAACCUGUACCUUUUAUUGCAGUCUGUGUAACACAGGCUCAGUAUUUUUGCACAAGAGAAUUUACAUGCCAAAUAUAAAUACAGUAUGUGAGAGUCUGGGUACUUAAGUUAGAAUCUUGAUUGCCUGCAUGGCUAAUGGAGAUUCCAGAAGGCAACACAGUAAAUCAUCGAUUAUCAGCACCAGAGUGCUCUGAAUCAUCUUCUGUGUCGGCCCAGCUUUCCAGGAAUUGUCCUGCACUCUUUGUGAUUGCUUCUGUUUCCAUCUGUACAGAGAUCAAAUGAAGACACAUGGUGGUGCACCCUACCAGCGUUUCUUCCCAGUUGCCAUCUUUGGUAUCGGCAGCUCUGGCUUUGUAAGAAACACACCUGUCACUGAUUUCCAGAGAAUUAAUGCACUGAUAGCUUUCCACAUGCCUGAAACAACAGCUCUUGGAGGUGUCAGCUGCCUGGGAAUCCGUGACACAUCACAUUAGAUAAUUAAAAAAAAAAAAAAAAAAAAAUUGAUUUUGUUAGCUGUCAGUUUUUUCACAGUGCAGGUUUAUGAUGCUUGAGUAACUUGUCUGUGACAUGGGUCUCAAAGCAGAAAUUCAUAUGAUGCUCUUAGUCUUUAAGUGUUGGUUUUGAGGUGGAAGGUCAAGAUGAGAUUCAGAAGACUGAAUAAUUCUUGCAGACCUGAAUGAGAUCAUCCAUUUGCUAUUUCCAUCCAAAUAUAAAACCAGAAAGAGUUUAAGAGGAUCAAGUUGAGUUUGCAAGCAAUCUGAAAUCUUAUCUCUUAGUGGUACAAAAGGCCCCUUCCAAUUCACUAGACUACCAGUCCUGGAAGCUGAACAGUAGCAAUUCUGUGCCCCUUUCAGUGUAUAGAAGUCUAGAUUCAGCUCGAUCCUUAUGUACUUGGGUAGUUUAUUAAAUGAUCAUGGUCCAUGGUUUUAGUUCCCCUGUAAAAUUAAUAUAAACCCUAAGGUUAAAUAGUAAACAUUGUCAGCAUGAUGACUGCUGUAGGUGUUCCAAAAAUAAAUUUUACUUGAUAGUAACUGAAUUUCUGUGUAGUCCAACAGAUGAGUCAUUAGAUAAUGUCCACAGAGGUCAAUUUUAUUUAUACUUUCAGAUUAGUAUUCAAUGUUUUAUAAAUCCAAGUGUAUGCAUAACAACAGACUGAAUUCAAUCCAAGAAAUGUAAAUGGAUAAUCAUAAUGUCUUUUGGGGCUUCCUAGUGAUUCAAUAUUUGAUACUCUGAUCAUAGCCAUAGUGUACCAUGUAAUCUUUUAUCCUGUCAUUGGGCUGGUAAAUACUGUUACAAAUACAAAAUUAACAGACUCAAUCCCAUACGUACAAGUAUAAUUUCAUGCAAGUCAUAGUAGAUUGUUUGCAGGCUCCUCAACAAGGCUUUGUACCACAUCCAUCCAGGCAUGCAGUCUUUCAAAUAUUUGAACAAGUCACUGUUGUCAGACAAUAUAGAAUAUGAAAAAAAAUACAUACAAUUUUAGAAAAAUUAGGCUAAAAACCACAAAGAAAUCACAUUUAGAAUAUUAAAUGAGCAAAGGGCAAUAUUCCUACCUAUGUCUUCCUUGUUUUGAAGUAUGUGAUUCAAACAUUACCUGUUAUCACAGAAAUAAUGAAAAGGGCUGUUUUACCACGAGCAGUACACUGCUGUAGUAGUUUCACUGCCUGAAGUAUUAUCUGGAACAUCUACUUUACAUUCAAGUAAGUGCUACAUUUAGAACGUAUUUUUAUUCUACCUAAAGUAUGUAGUGCAUUAGACCUUAACGUACCCUCUAGCUACAGACAUGGGCCCAGAAGAUAUGGGCUAAAAAUAGGAAUUACUCUAGAAGCAAUAAUUUGUUUGAAAGCCAUAAACUGAAUUCCCAAGCAGCAGUGAAUGAUUGUCCUCUCUGCUGGAGAGAAACCUCCUCAGCAGAUCCUCUUUUGCAGUUUGCAAAUUUGAAAUUCGUACAAAAAAGAGUAAUAGAAAAAGUUAGAAAAAUUUGAACAUGCCAUUAAUGCCUGCAGGAGGAUGAAGUAGUGUUUGUGAAUUCCUCUUAGCAAUAGUUACUUUUCAGUGCUUUAUUUUCUCCAUUGGGAAUAAGGUAAUUAUCAGUAAGAGUAGCAGUGAGGAAGAAAAAUAAAAUUGUUUAUUAUUGGACCAAUUGAGCCCAGCAAGAUGAAGGCCAAAUUGUUUUUUGCUUGUCUGAGUUUGAUUUUUAGUCAGUCUGGAUGUGUUUUUUGUUUAGCAGAGAACUUCAGUGAGGAGUAUGUUAUUUUAUAACUGAGGCCAAUAGAAAGUCAUUGGCAUAAUAAAACCCCAGAUUUUACAAUUUCAACGCAGCUGCUCCGUGACUUUUAAGCAACUGUGAAAUCACAUUGUUUAAACUGAUGUCUGGAUCCAGAUUUUUUUCUUUUUUUCUUUUUUUUUUUUUUCUAGAGAAGUCACCAGAAAUCCCUCAGAUCAACAACUGGUGUUGCAGCCUAACCAUUCUAGUGAGUGUUCACUAACCUCCAGUUAGAAAUAACCACCAGGUCAUCCUGUGUUAUACUCAAAUAUGAAAAUGAACAUAAUGUUACCAGUAUCAUCAAUUAAUUUGCUGUUACUAAUUUACCAGGGGAAAUAAAUUCGUUUAAUGAAAAACAUAGUUCUUUGGCUGACACACUGAUUACGUGCGGUGCCCUGAGCAAACUGGCAUUUCCAUUUUUUUUCAACUCUUUUAUGACUUAAACUGCAGCAGUUGGUAGUAUUUGAACGUACAGUUAUACUGUGCUAUCAAGAGUAUAUAUACCCCAUUUGUAAGAAGUAUUGCUUGCUUCUCAUGGACCAAAUUAUUCUGCAGUGAGAGGUGAAUUCUGGACCUUGGCUGCAGUUGGGACCUUCCUAUCCUGAACCUGUGAUCACACAAACAUCCAUACAAGUGAAUAUUUAUGCAAGUGAUACCUAAGUUUUUGUUUGUUUGUUUUACCUGAAAUUCCAACACCUAGGUAAACUUACUUGUUUAGCAGACUAGGACUCAAAGCUAGAUUUUUAGAUCUACAACACAAAACCUUGUAUGUUGAAUUUGAAUAAUUUUUCCUCCCACCUUACUGAUAAUGGUGUCUACAUCUGAUGGAUUUCAAAGAAAUAAGUGAGUCUGGAGGGUUCGACCUGGCACCUUGCAUCUGCAGGUGUGUUACACCCCACUCUCACAGCUGCAGCUGAGGAAAGGGGGUGUUUGCAAUAAAAAGGGGCUAGUGAUGUGGGGAGGAGAGGUAUGAAGCCAGCGGGUUUUGUGUGCUUGCCAGGAGAAUGCUGACAAGGAGCAGCUUGUCUUCAGUAAGGGUCACUAUUAAGUUACAGGGUAGGAGCUAAUUCUUCUGGUGAUUGACCCUUGGGACUGAGAAAACCAAUAGGUCAAGAGUCCUGUAGAAAAAUGGAAAUCUAGUUCAGAGGUUUCUGUGUAUUUUGUUUGGCUUUUGAGCUUCUUCAGAGCCUCAAAGAAGGAUCCCAGCAGCUGCUGCUCUUAAGAAAAAAAAGAAAAAAGAAAAAAAGAAAAGAGCUAAAGAGCUAUAGAGGAGGCUCUGGAGGAACAGGAAAGUGUGAUAGAGCAUUUGAAUUGAAGACAACAAGACAACAAGUUUGUGAUAUAUUUGAAAAAGGGCAUACUCUUCAGAGUAGCCUAGAAAAAGGACUGCAUACACCUUAAUCAGUAUUUUCUGGGAUAAAAGUACUGAGGAUAUUAUCAGGAUGGUGUACAUAAAUCAUAUAAGCAACACAGUGGGUGAAAGUGGAAACUGGGAGCUCAAAUAGAAGGGAUUGUAUAACAACUUUUUAUCUGUUUCUUAUUACUUCAAAAUUAGUACCAAUGAAUAAAACUAUCCUUUUCUUUUCAAUAGUUUAACUCAGUUUAUUGUAUCUGAUUCUAAAGGUCAAAUCAUUAUAUUUACACAAGUUUUACUCAAAGGUGGUUUGUACAUGUCAGUGGAGUUAUUCUAACUCUUAUAGAUGUAAAGAAAAAUAAUAGUUUAUCCCAAAAAGGAUUUUUGGUUUUUAUGUCACAGCCCAUGGAAAGCAUGAGACAAAAGUUACAUCCUGUGUUCUUUGGCAGGUAAGUAGCCUCACUGAAACAACUGUGCAUCACUGGACCACCUCUCAAGUUUACCCUCAUCUUAAAGUUAACACAGCCAAAAGGUUUUUACACAGUCGUCAGCCUCAGGUGUAGGCAUUGUAUAUGACAACCCAGUGCUGUGGUGGACAGAAAAGAUGUGUACUCUCUAGGUGUUAUUCUUUUGCAGUAUAAAGUAUUUACAGAGUGUACAUGGGAAAAUCGAUGAAGUGAGGCACAUUUUAGAUCUGAGUUGUAUAUGCACAGACAUUCCUCUGGAUGUAGGAGAGCCUUUUGCAGCUGUAGAGCCAUCCUUGGCUUUCAUUAAUGAUACCAUUGCUCACUGACAUUAAUAUGGUCAUCAGAAGUGGUUAGUUAUUCCUGUACCUGGAUCUGAAUGAUGCCUUCUGCACACUGAGGAGAGAAGAGGGAAAUUGUUAUAAUUUCCCCUGCAUACAGUGCUCCUGCACAGCUGAAAGGAGACAUCAUUUAGCCUGCCGUGCAUAAAAGGAGCAGGUUAGUGCAUGAGAUGUACUGGUUAAAUAAAACCUCAAGUCAAGUCUGAUAUC